UUUGCCCUCAAGGAUUACUAGACAGUGCAAAGAGUACCUGCUACAACAAUUACCAAAAUGAUCAAACUGCAUCCCAACUGCAUUGUUGUAUGAUCGAAUACAGCAGGACUUGUGUUCCGGAAAUACUCGCAAGACAAGGAUGCGAUGUGACGGUUCUUCUUGAGCGGUUCUUCAAGGACAUCAACGCUGAUUGUGGAACAUCGAAGCCAGUCUGCUUGGAGUGCAAUCAGAAAGCAAUAUCCGAUGCGGAAGAUGUGUGCUUGAGGAAAUACGUACAGGAACACGGCAUCAUUUCUAAAGGCCUGUUGUCCAACAAUGAAAAACGACU
Ornithodoros turicata is the source of this 328-nucleotide long non-coding RNA. RefSeq lists it as uncharacterized. NCBI's taxonomy places the organism in Eukaryota, Metazoa, Arthropoda, Arachnida, Ixodida, Argasidae. The record is from RefSeq and is a predicted model, not a curated record. The transcript is spliced from 3 exons.